RNAcentral lists this small nuclear RNA (90 nucleotides) under Acanthisitta chloris (rifleman). RNAcentral describes it as "7SK RNA". It matches the Rfam family "7SK RNA", at positions 1 to 90 of the family's 331-position model. From Rfam's summary of the family: 7SK was discovered as an abundant small nuclear RNA in the mid-70s but a possible function has only recently been suggested. Two independent studies have found that 7SK RNA binds the CDK9/cyclin T complex (known as elongation factor P-TEFb). Lineage: Eukaryota; Metazoa; Chordata; Aves; Passeriformes; Acanthisittidae. The record is from Rfam by way of RNAcentral.
GGAUGUGAGGGCGAUCUGGCUGCGACAUCUGUCACCCCAUUGAUCGCCAGGGUUGAUUCGGCUGAUCUGGCUGGGUAAGAGGGGGUGCCC